GUAGUCAAUUAUUACUUAAUAUACACAUGCAAGUAUCCGCUCCCCUGUGAAAACGCCCUUCAACCCCCAUUAGGGACAAGGAGCCGGUAUCAGGCACAAUGCUUGCCCAAGACACCUAGCUUUGCCACACCCACAAGGGAUUUCAGCAGUGAUUAACAUUGAAUAUUAGCGUAAGCUUGAUUCAGUUAAAGUAAAUUAGAGCCGGCCAAUCUGGUGCCAGCCGCCGCGGUUACACCAUGUGGCUCAAAUUGACCACUUCCGGCGUAAAGCGUGAUUAAAGUUAUCUUCUAAUAGAGUUAAAUUAAAACUAAGCUGUGACACGCCUGUUUUUAAGAAAUUCUUAAACGAAAGUUACUCUAAUUUAACCAACUUUGAAU
RNAcentral lists this ribosomal RNA (377 nucleotides) under Rhinella margaritifera (mitred toad). RNAcentral's name for it is "partial 12S ribosomal RNA". Lineage: Eukaryota; Metazoa; Chordata; Amphibia; Anura; Bufonidae. The record is from RNAcentral.